This 253-nucleotide ribosomal RNA is filed under the name uncultured bacterium. RNAcentral's name for it is "partial 16S ribosomal RNA". It matches the Rfam family "Bacterial small subunit ribosomal RNA", at positions 524 to 776 of the family's 1533-position model. The record is from RNAcentral.
UACGAAGGGGGCUAGCGUUGCUCGGAAUUACUGGGCGUAAAGCGCACGUAGGCGGAUUGUUAAGUCGGGGGUGAAAUCCUGGAGCUCAACUCCAGAACUGCCUUCGAUACUGGCGAUCUCGAGUCCGGGAGAGGUGAGUGGAACUGCGAGUGUAGAGGUGAAAUUCGUAGAUAUUCGCAAGAACACCAGUGGCGAAGGCGGCUCACUGGACUGGUAUUGACGCUGAGGUGCGAAAGCGUGGGGAGCAAACAGG